RNAcentral lists this ribosomal RNA (467 nucleotides) under uncultured bacterium. RNAcentral's name for it is "bacterial SSU rRNA". It matches the Rfam family "Bacterial small subunit ribosomal RNA", at positions 355 to 825 of the family's 1533-position model. The record is from RNAcentral.
UAAGGAAUAUUGGUCAAUGGGGGCAACCCUGAACCAGCCAUGCCGCGUGCAGGAUGAAGGCCCUAUGGGUCGUAAACUGCUUUUAUACCGGAGAAAACCCGAGUACGUGUACUCGGUUGAUAGUAUGGUAAGAAUAAGCAUCGGCUAACUUCGUGCCAGCAGCCGCGGUAAGACGAAGGAUGCAAGCGUUAUCCGGAUUCAUUGGGUUUAAAGGGUGCGUAGGCGGACUUGUAAGUCAGUGGUGAAAUCUCUUUGCUUAACAAAGAAACUGCCAUUGAUACUGCAGGUCUAGAGUAUAGAUGACGUUGGCGGAAUAUGACAUGUAGUGGUGAAAUACUUAGAUAUGUCAUAGAACACCGAUUGCGAAGGCAGCUAACGAAACUAUAACUGACGCUGAGGCACGAAAGUGCGGGGAUCAAACAGGAUUAGAUACCCAAGUAGUCCCUGAGCGGGCUGGCAAGGCGCAU